UGGAAGUAGGGAAGUUCACUUUUCCAUUUGAUGGUGCCACUUUGUAACAACCUCAAGGUCAGAACUGCCUUCUUCAGAUGACAUCGUAACUAUGGGUCUAGAGGGAGAUGAGCUGAUGACAUUCCUUCCUUAUAACUACUUCUUAGGGCCUCAUUCUGUAAGGAUGUUCGUCAAAGGCCCAGCUGGUCUCUUUGACAGAUGCUUUCAGUUGCUUUUCUUCUGUGUCAAUUCAAGGAUGAUGGCUUCUCUACUACUACGAAUGUUGAUGGACACACUUUGGGUUUUAUUACUUACAAUUCAAUUUCUCAAUGUACACUAAUGGGAAAGCCAGAAACAGUGACAACUAUACUUCCAGUGUCUGCUCUGAAUCAGCUGCAGUGUUUUCACACUGGCCUGAGCAGCCCAGACCUGCACACUACUACAGACUGCAAGAUUUAAGCCCAUGUACUUGAUCUCCUGUCAAUUGACCUUCAUUCACAUAAUUAUGGUCAUCACUGGAUGGGAUAUUUUUACUACAGAGAUAUUUGACUUACUGAACAUAGAGAAUGGCAUCAUAUGUAAGGCAACUUCUUACUUAAAUAGGGUGAUGAGAGGUCUCUCUAUCUGCAUCACCUACCUCCUGCAUGUGUUCCAGGCUGUGACGAUCAGUCCCGAUACCUCUUUGUUGGCAAAAUUUAAACAUAAACUAAAAAAAAUACAUGAUCUAUUCUUUCUUCUAUUUUUGAUCUUUCAAUUUGUCAUUCAGCAUUAACAGGAUCUUCUAUACUGAUGCUUAUACCAACAUGAGUGAGACCAACCAGUUGAAGGUCACUAAAUACUGCUCACUCUUCCCCAUGAACUACAUCAUCAGGGGACUGAUUUUAACCAUGACAACCUUAAGAGAUGUGUUUCUUGUAGGAGUCAUGCUGAGCACAAGCACAUACAUGGUGAUUAUCUUGUUCAGACAUCAGAGGCAAUGCAAGCAUCUUCAUAGCAAAAGCCAAUUGAGAGCAUCCCCUGAGAAAAGGGCCACCCAGACCAUCUUGCUGCUGGUGUUUUCCUAUGUGGUCAUGUACUGGGUGGACUUCAUCAUCUCAUCCUCCUCAGUCCUGUUAUGGAUGUAUGACCCAGUCAUACUUACUGUUCAGAAGUUUGUGAUAAAUCCCUAUCCCACAAUUACUCCUUUGAUACAAAUCAGUUCUGAUAACCGAAUAAGCAUUAUGCAAAAAAUAUGCCACCAGAUUUUUUAAAAAGUGUAAUUUUUCUCUUAUUUAGAAAAGAAUUUGCUUAUUUUAUUCAUAUGUAUUAGUUUUGGCCUGGCAUGUAUGCAUGUGUGCAUUCCUGGUAUUCACAAACGUCAGAUGAGGUCAUGGGAUCUCCUGGAUCUGGAAGUACAGAGUGUUGUAACGUGCCAUGCUGGUGCAGCACCAAUAAUUUUAUUCCCUAAAACACAAAUUUUUCUUUUUUUCUUAAGUUUACAUUAGUUUUAUUUCAGUUUACAAUUCCCAGGUCACACUCUAUCACUGAGAAAAGUCAGGACUGGCACUGAAAGAGAGGCCGGCGGAGGGAUGUUGAUUACUGGCUUGUUCAGCCUGCUUUUUUAUUCCCUCCCGUGUUCCCCUCUCCACUGCUUGCCCCCUGCUCUACUCACCCUACCCAUAUUUAUUUCAUAUAUGUGGGGACACUGUCACUAUCUUGAGAUACAGCCAAAAAUGGCAUCAGAUCCCAUUAGAGAUGGUUGUGAGCCCUCCUGUGGUUGCUGGGAAUUGAACUCAGGACCUCUUGUGGAGAAGUGGGUGCUCUUAACCACUGAGCCGUCUCUCUAGAUCCAGGUUUUUCUUAAACUAUAUAAUAGUUCAAGUAAUAAAGCAUGAUUCUUCAUAUGGUUUAAAUAGAAUUUGUAGUAUUAUACUUAUUCAUUCCUUUGACAUUUUUGCUGCCAAGAAGUAUAUGGUUCUUAAAUUCAUUAUACAUCAUAAAUUCAUAUCUCCACAGGAAUUCUCUUAGUCCUUCCUUUUUGCUCUAUAUCAUAAAUGUUCCCUUAAUUCUGAUGUUAUAUAAAAGAUGAUCCUUGCUGAUAGUGACUUUUUAAAAAAAUAUUUUAAUUUACUCUAAAUAAUCAAGAAUAUUUAAAAUAUUUGAUUGUACCUUUAACUCUGAUUCGUAAGUAUAAUUUCUAUGAACCCAUAAAAGUAAUGAGUUCAAAAUUUCCAGUUUUUACUACUAAUUAAGUAUUAAGUACUUAAUGAGUCUUAUAUGAAAUUAUCAUAUGCCUCUAUGUUUGUAUGUAACUUUAUUAACCCUUACUGAAAUAUUGAUAAAUAAAAAUUGUGCACAUAUGCAUACAUGAUGUAG
RNAcentral lists this long non-coding RNA (2334 nucleotides) under Mus musculus (house mouse). Its description in RNAcentral is "novel transcript". Lineage: Eukaryota; Metazoa; Chordata; Mammalia; Rodentia; Muridae. The record is from RNAcentral.